This 486-nucleotide ribosomal RNA is filed under the name uncultured bacterium. RNAcentral describes it as "partial 16S ribosomal RNA". It matches the Rfam family "Bacterial small subunit ribosomal RNA", at positions 30 to 507 of the family's 1533-position model. The record is from RNAcentral.
AUUGAACGCUGGCGGCAUGCCUUACACAUGCAAGUCGAACGGCAGCACGGGUGCUUGCCCCUGGUGGCGAGUGGCGAACGGGUGAGUAAUACAUCGGAACAUGUCCUGUAGUGGGAGAUAGCCCGGCGAAAGCCGGAUUAAUACCGCAUACGAUCUACGGAUGAAAGCGGGGGACCUUCGGGCCUCGCGCUAUAGGGUUGGCCGAUGGCUGAUUAGCUAGUUGGUGGGGUAAAGGCCUACCAAGGCGACGAUCAGUAGCUGGUCUGAGAGGACGACCAGCCACACUGGGACUGAGACACGGCCCAGACUCCUACGGGAGGCAGCAGUGGGGAAUUUUGGACAAUGGGCGAAAGCCUGAUCCAGCAAUGCCGCGUGUGUGAAGAAGGCCUUCGGGUUGUAAAGCACUUUUGUCCGGAAAGAAAUCCUUGGCCCUAAUACGGUCGGGGGAUGACGGUACCGGAAGAAUAAGCACCGGCUAACUACGUG